RNAcentral lists this unclassified non-coding RNA (306 nucleotides) under plant metagenome. RNAcentral's name for it is "partial contains 5.8S ribosomal RNA, internal transcribed spacer 2, and large subunit ribosomal RNA". The stretch from base 1 to 105 matches the Rfam family "5.8S ribosomal RNA", at positions 50 to 154 of the family's 154-position model. The record is from RNAcentral.
GAAAUGCGAUAAGUAAUGUGAAUUGCAGAAUUCAGUGAAUCAUCGAAUCUUUGAACGCACAUUGCGCCCGCCAGUAUUCUGGCGGGCAUGCCUGUCCGAGCGUCAUUUCAACCAUCAAGCCCCCGGGCUUGUGUUGGGGACCUGCGGCUGCCCGCAGGCCCUGAAAACCAGUGGCGGGCUCGCUGUCACACCGAGCGUAGUAGCAAUCACCACGCUCAGGGCGUGCUGCGGGUUCCGGCCGUUAAACAGCCUUACAAAACCCAAGGUUGACCUCGGAUCAGGUAGGAAGACCCGCUGAACUUAAGC